GUCUACGGUCAUGCCACCCUGAACAUGCCCAAUCCCAUCUGACCUCAGAAGCUAAGCAGGGUUAGUACUUGGAUGGGAGACCACCUAGGAAGACCAGGUGCUGUAGGCU
RNAcentral lists this ribosomal RNA (109 nucleotides) under Pteropus alecto (black flying fox). The record is from RNAcentral. Lineage: Eukaryota; Metazoa; Chordata; Mammalia; Chiroptera; Pteropodidae.